RNAcentral lists this long non-coding RNA (8074 nucleotides) under Coffea arabica (coffee). Its description in RNAcentral is "long non-coding RNA (CARA_LNC000232)". The record is from RNAcentral. Lineage: Eukaryota; Viridiplantae; Streptophyta; Magnoliopsida; Gentianales; Rubiaceae.
CCAACAACUCAGGAUAUCCCUGCACCAUGAAGGAGAUGAAAUCCAUCUACAUGGCCAAGCCGAUAACUGUGACAUGGAUUUGAUCAGGGGCAAGGACUUAAGAACAUUUAUAGAAUACAAGAAACAGAUGUGUAUGGCUAUGUGUGGCCAACAGGAAAAAGACAGACAAGGGAAGUCAGAAACCACACCUCAAGAGGUAGAGGCCCUGCUACAGGACUAUAAGGAUGUCUUUCAGACUCCUAGCUCAUUACCCCCAAGUAGGAGCGUAGACCAUGAGAUUCCUCUCAAACAGGAGGCUCAGCCAUUCAAACUUAAGCCUUACAGAUAUCCUCACUGUCACAAGGAGGAGAUAGAGAGACAGGUUACUGAAAUGCUGCAGAAAGGUAUUGUGAAACACAGUAACAGCCCUUUGCCUCCCCUGUACUACUAGUCAAGAAGAAGGAAGGCACCUGGAGGUUUUGUGUGGACUACAGGAAGCUGAAUGAGAUCACUAUUAAAGACAGAUUUCCAAUACCCAAUGUAGAUGAACUGUUGGAUGAGUUAUCAGGAGCUGUGUUCAAAACCAAGUUAGCAAUGGAGGCUUUCAGUAAACAGCAGCAACUAACAUUGCAGACAACUAUUACAAAAAAGAUUCUAAGCUAGAAGAAUUACAUGUAAACACUGAAAGUUUCAGAUGAAUUUUCCAGUGACACUCAAUCUCUCGUCAAGCUGAUUAAAAGCAGUAUUAUUGCCUUGAAAAUUUCGUUUUAUUUCAUGGUUCCAAGUGUUCAAAGAGUAGCGUAAGCAAAGAAAUUUGAUCUCUGGAUGAGAGGUUCAUUGCAUAUGGAGAUUUAACACUAAGUUUGGGUUGGGACAUUGGGCCAAAUGUAACAAAGUAUUACGGGGUACAUUCGUGGUAAAUUUCAUUUUCUGGAAGCUGGAACAGAUGAUAGUUACCUAAACAAAGAAACUUACUCCCAGAUUUAUUAUGGAGGAAGAGACAAUAUUUGGCUUUUCUUUUGGGUUGGGGGGGAGGGGGGGGAAUACACCUAUUAAAAACUUUUGGCCUUCAUAAUGUAAAUACCCCUUAUUUUCAGAGAAAAGAAUUUCUUAUGGGUGGCAUUGCAAGUGGAAGGACAUUUCUGAUAAGUUGGAAGUAUGUCAGGCCAAUUAUAGAGAAGAUUAAUCAUUCUUGUUCUGAGAGUUGUAACUGAUGCUUGGUUACAAAAAGUUACCGAACAAAAUGCUACAUGGAGAAGCCCAACGGCCUAAAAGUUUAAGUUUUAAGAUGAAAACUGCUAUGAAAUGCUCCUUUACAAAUGAAUCGGAGAUUGACAGGAAUCAAGAAUUUCCAAACUUGUCUAUCUAAGAUAAAUCACUACUAUACAAAAAGCCUUUUCUUGGAAAUCAAGUAUGCCAAAGCACAUGAAUUCCAAACCUAUUCUUUAAAACUUUUAAUAGUUUGGGUGCUAUUGUUCAUGUUGCAGAAAUUGAGGCAAGAAUGACCUCUUGCAAAAAAAUAAACAAGAGGAACUUACAAGACAAAAUGAAUCGUGUUCAGCAGCUAAUCUAGGACCUAAGGAACUUCAAUCUCAAAUUGCUAGCUCUCCAAGCUUCGUACUUUUAAUUUCAUCCAGUUGAGUAUUCUCAGCAUGAAAAAUAUCUCAGUCCAUAUGCAUUUUUUGUAGUAGCUUUGUAUUUCUCAAUUACAAUCAUGAAGAACAAUGCUAUUGUGUAUCUUUCCACAUGGAUGCAAACAUUCAACACCACAAACCAUCAGAUGGUAACUGUAAAACUUGACAAGUUCAAUGCCAACUUUCUAGGUCUGAUCUUUCUUUUCCACAUUUUUUAUCCCUCAAGCUUGUCACCUCAAAAUUUAAGUGUCCACCAUCACUCAACAAUCACAACCACAACAGCCUAUUUUCACCUUCUUGGUGCUGUAUUUCAGCUUCCAUUGCAGUUUAUAAAGUUGUCCUGAUUGGAGAGAAGGAAAUAGAGCUUUUGGGGGUGUACCAAGACAGUAUGAAUAUGAAAAUUUUACUGCCUUCACCCAAAACUGAAGGCCAUAGUUCGACUAAAGAGAAUAUGAAUAAAAAAACUGAAUAACAUAAUAGCCCAAAGAGAGUGUGAACAGAAUACAGGAAUUCCAAUAGAGUUAGUGAAAAACAUGUAGAUGAACCCUUUAAUCAUUUCUGUUAUACACAAAGGAUACAUCAAAUGAAGAAAUAUCAAAGAAAACAACAAUUCUUUUUGGGGAGGCCAAAACAAGAAAUCAGAAUUCGAAACACCAGGGAGUUUAUAAUUCUCCAUACUUUCUUGGAGUAGGCAAUCUUGUGAAUUCAUGGACGUAUAACAAAUAUACUUCCAAAACAGCCUACUUUUCUUGCAAAAAUGAUUGCAACCCAUAAUAGUGGUUCAGUUCUUAUAGGCUUGGUUUACAUUGUUUUACAACCUGGCCAACUAUCAUAGUACUUCUAGGUGGAUAACUAAUCCAGUCAAACUAGGAUACCAGGUCCUGAUUUAAUAUGUAAGGGGAUCCAAUACUGUAUCUUCAUUACAGUUGCUCCAGCAUCAUUUCUUUCUCGUCGAGUCUCAGCCUGACGGCCUACUCAAGGGUUCCCCACCAAUAAUCAACUAAAUUUGGAAAACCAAAACUUCACUAAAUUUCUAAGCAUUAGCACAUUUAUUCACCAAAAAUUAUUUAGCCCCUCAGACUAGAGGGUACAUUUGCUUAUCUGGGUUGAGGUCUCAGUUUUACCAUCUGCAUCAAAGUUUUGAAAGAGUUCAUAAGUGGCUAAAUCUGCCACCAACCAAUCAGUUAUAGAUCCUGCUGAAAGUAAGAAAAAAGAAAUCAGCAGGAAUGCUGGAAGCAAUAAGAGUGUUGGCUUACCAUAGGAUCAAAUAAUGUCCCAACAGUUGGUACAACAGAUACACCCAAGUUCUUCAUGAUUUCUACAAAUUGCUUGUAUAUGCCCUGAUAACUUGCAUCAAUUUUCUUUUCCUGCUCUGUCUCUAGUUUCAUAUGUUGCUUGGCUCGUUCAAAGUUAUCUACCAUAGGCAAGAGACUCUCAAUCACUUCUCCCUGGGCAUUACUCCUUAUUGUUAGCUUCUCAUUCUCUGUUCUCUUCCUGAAGUUGUCAAAAUCUGCUUGCAAACGAACAUACUUGUCCUUCUGAGCACCAAUUUCAUCUGACAAAACAGAAACCUUUUCUAACAACUCAUUCCUCUCCUUUUCUACCAUGUGUAUUAUCUCUUCAAAAUCGGAUAUACUUUUCUCAUCUCCAUUUAAAAUGGCCUCCUUAUAAGCUGAGAUAGUAGACUCCAAUCUUGAAGGAAGUUCUUGGUCCGCUUCCUCUUCUGUUUUACUGAGAGGAGUCUCAUCUUCAUCAUCAGUCUAUCAUGUAUCACAUUGAUAUUAUUAAGCAUGCAAUGGCAGCUAUAAAAGUACUCAAAAUUUCUACCAUUAUACAGAAAAUUUAUAUGGUUGAUGAAAAAUUACCAUUACUUGUUACCUUUGUAAAUGAACUGAACAUUGCAUGAGAUAAGAACCAAUAAUAGGUUCAAAACAGUGACAGAGGAAGCGAUCUCUAAACUUUGAAGUAUGAGACACACACUGUAAAGUAUACAGACAUGGUACACUAACUCUCUCUCUCUCUCUCUCUCUCUGUUUUGAUUCAUUGGUGGUGGUGUAAGGGGAACUCAACUUAACCUCGUCCCGUUUUAAUAGUUUUUGAAAAAAGAGACAAACAAAACUUCAUUUUUCAGCAGCAGCCUUGAAGCCAGCAAGAAACACUAUGAAUGAAAUACUUACUUACAAUUCCUGUCAAUAAGUUGAUUUAGUAAUUUCUCUGAAAGCAGACACCUUAAAGCAAAAUUGAUGAAAGAAAAGAUGUAUCUGUUCACUGUAUUUUGACCAAAUUCCAGCAGAUUUGCACAAUUUUUUAGAAUAAAAAAUCAACUAAAAUAACAACAUCUUUGUUCAUGUUUACAUAUCUAUACUUGAAAUUCAGCUUGUAAUUCCCCAAAAUCAAGCCUGCUUACCAAUAACCAAUAUCAAAAUUUAAUAAAUGAAUCUAAGAUACAUAAAGAAUCAAAAUUGGCUUCGACUAAACACACCAAGCCAAGAAAGAACAUCAGCCACAACUUCCAUCACGAGUUAAAAGCAACUAAACAAAAAAAAAAUUACUUCGGAAGCGGAGUCUUCGGAUUGUGACUGAGAAGCUUUAAGAAAUCGGCAUCUCCUGCUGCUGUUGUUAUUGAUUACCGGAAUGUUUGCAUUUUUGGGCAAACAAAAACAAAAGCCUCUGGAGGAAAUGGGUUUCAAGGAAAAUGGGUUUGGAAAUAAUUUGAAGAAGAUGAAGGAAGGGAUGGGCGAUGAGGAGAAGCAUAUGAACAAAGAUAAGCUGUUGAAGCUGAAGCUGUUGGUGCCGCCGCCAUAGAAGUUUCUAGUAUUAUCACUGAAGAUUGAAAGGGAGGAGUCUGGUAAUUUCACACCAAGCGGAGGAAGAAGAAGGUGGAGUUGGUGUAGGGGUUUUGGGAUAAGAGAAAACGAUGUCGUUAAGUCAGAAAGCCGAAAACGACAAAAAAGAAUAAAAUAAAAACAAAAGGCCCAACUUAGCCUUAUUCUAGAUACAUCUUCACGCGUGUGCUGCAUUUUCUGGUCUCUCACUAGCGCCAAAACAGCUGCAUUUGAGUUGAGUUCAACAGUUGACAACUCGAAUUUUAACUAAAAUAUCGCUGAGUUUUUAGAAACCGAAUCGUGCUAGCUCGAUUUUAGUUUAACUUUUCUUUUUUGCCGUAACUGCACGUUUAACAUAACCUAACCUACUCUUACUUCUACCAGGGGAACCUACUCUAUAAGAUGGCUUAAUUGAGUCAGAAAACCUGACGAGAACUGAACAAUCAUUAAACUAAACGGAUGCACCACACACUCAAUGGAUUUUGAACUCUUAACCUCCCACCCCACAAUAAAUGCGAUGACCAAUUCCUCUUGAGGGAGUUUUAGUUUAACUUGAGUUCAUAAAAAUUCGAGAUCGAGCUAGAUCGAUUUUAGUUUUACUUGAGUUUGAACUUAAGUUAAUUGAGUUUGAUGAAAUCUAAUCAAGUUUAAUGGAGUCUAUUCAAUCUAAUCAAAUUCACCUAAUAAAAUGAUAUUUCGAUAUUUCGCUUGUAUUAUAAACACAUUUUUUAAUUUACUUUUUUCUAUUUUCAACCAUUUUUUUUAUCUCACGUACAUCAUAUCACAAAAAAUGUUACAGUAAUUAUUUCAAAUAAUACUCUAUCUUACAUAUAAUUUUAAACAAAGAAUAUAAUCGAUAUUUUACAAUAAUAAACAUAAAAAAUAAAAAUAAUAUAUAUGUGUGUGUAUGUGGGUGCAUGUGUGUGUGUGUCGGUUAGAUUUGUCAAGCUUACAAGUUUAGAAAUAUAAUACUCAAGCACGAUUUUUAAGUAUUUUGAAGUUGUUUAAACUUGACUCGAGUUUAGUCAAUGUCUAACUCAAGCCGGAUAGUUGAGUUAGUUACUCGCGAAUUUGAGUCUAAUAGCUUGAUCAACUCGCAGUCCUAGUUUACUGAACGACUACUUGACCCGUGAAAGGGAAAAGUGACCCGACCGGUAGUAUUGAUUGAACACAAAUUUGAACUGUAUCCAUCCGUAGUUAUAAAUCAAUAUGGGUGGGUAAGGGUCAAGUAUGCGCUCCAUGCAUCACUUGACCGAUGUCAGGAUAUGAAAUUGUUGAAUUGAGAUUAAUUGGGUAUAUUUCAAUUAAAGGUCAAAACGAUGUCGUUUGGGUUAGUAGUUAGUUAAAGUAGUUACUUAGCAAUUGCAGGUUGUUAAGUUUGUUAUAAGUAGAGGACCCACGCAUGAGAGAUACAGACUUUGUUUUUGGUAAUCAGAUGUAUUUCAAUUCCUCUUUCUAAAUUCUAUUUCUUCCCCAUUCUCUCUGAUUCUCUCCCUCUCUGCAAUCUUCAGCUCAUUUCCCAACUUAAUCCCAAUCGUAACUCAGAUAUAAACAAUUGCACUUAAGUUCCUGACAAAUUGGUAUCAGAGCAAGAGAUCCUUGGAAAUUACCAUUAGCAAUGGCAGAAGGCACUAGAUUCCGGUCAUUGGAGGAGCAAGUUAAGAAACAAGAAAUCAAGCUGCAGGAAUUGGUAGAAUCUCUCCAUACAUCACAGUCGGAGCAGCAGCAAAUUAAAAAGGAAUUGAAACAGGAACUGGAGGAGAGUAGCAAACGGAUGGAAGGCCUAUUAUUAGGUAUGGAGCAGAAUUUUCUCAAAAUUUUGGAGCAAAAGCUGAACAAUCUUCUGCUAAGGACUCCUAUGAAGGAGAAGACUACUGAAGGGGAUGGAAGAUUGCCAGUAGAUCAGACGCCACUGUUACCAACUCCACCAGCUCACUGCAGGAUACAACCUGAAGGCGAAGCUCAGAAACUCUUCAAGAAGGACUGGAGUAAGUUUCAGAUUCCAAAUCCUCCUAAAAUUGAUUUACAGCUAUUUUCUGGAGAACAUCCUAGGGUUUGGCUGAGGAAAUGUAAUAAAUACUUUUUGAAUUAUCAAGUUCCACACGAGCAUAAAAUUGAAAUCAUUGAAAUGUAUCUGGAUGGCAAGGCUGACAAAUGGUUCCAAGGUGUAAAAAUUGAAAAGCCUAGAUUAGGAUGGGAGGAAUUUGAAGAUAUGUUAUGUAGGAGGUUUAAUGAUAGAUCGUGUAAGGAUAUAGUGGAAGAAUUCAAUAAACUGCAACAAGUAGGCAGUAUCGAGGACUAUCAGGAGAGAUUUGAGGAGCUGAAGCCUUUGAUGAUGAUCAAAAAUAGAAACCUGGAUGAAAACUAUUUUAUUUCCAGUUUCAUAAGUGGACUUAAGGAAGAAAUUAAGCCUGUGGUCAGGAUGCUGAAACCUGCCACACUAUCUGAAGCCUUCGAGCUAUCUCAAUGGCAAGAGCAAGUCAUAAGAAUCCAGAAUAAAAGCUCCAAGGAAAACACCAGGCCAAUGGGAGAAAACAAAUUUGGCAUAACCAGAAGUGCUAACACUUCUGUUGGAACAAAUUCUUACAAGGUCCCUGCCACUAGCAAUUUUAAGCACACUAAGUUUAGGAGUUCACCAGGGGAUACUAAGGAACCAGCAAAGUUGUCUGCUCAGGAGUUGCAGUAUAGGAGGAGUAAUGGAUUGUGUUUCAGGUGCGGAGAGAAGUAUGGAAUGGGACAUCAGUGUAGAGUGGGUCACUCAAAUUGUAUGACACUGGAAGAGGAGGAGGAUUCUGCAUUUGAGGAUGCCCUUGGAGAACAAGAUGAACAGACUGGGAAUCUUGGACAGGCCAUGGAAGUGUCACUGCAUGCUUUAUCUGAGGCUCUUAAGAGAAAAACUAUUACACUCUCUGGAAUCUUAGAUGGGGAGGAAGUACUGAUAUUGGUGGACACUGGGAGCUCAGACAGCUACAUUAGCAGUGAGCUUGUAAUUGGGAUGGACAUAGGCUAUCAGUGGGUGGAUCAACCAUUCUCUGUCAUAAUGGGGAAUGGAUCAUGUGUCACCAGCAAUGCAAUAUGCAAUGGGGUGCAGUGGAGGAUUAAUCAACACAACUUCAGGUAUAACCUCAAGGUAAUGGAACUGGGAGGUUGGGACAUAAUCCUAGGAGUGGACUGGAUGACACACUUCAGUCCCAUCACAUUCGACUUCCAACAACUCAGGAUAUCCCUGCACCAUGAAGGAGAUGAAAUCCAUCUACAUGGCCAAGCCGAUAACUGUGACAUGGAUUUGAUCAGGGGCAAGGACUUAAGAACAUUUAUAGAAUACAAGAAACAGAUGUGUAUGGCUAUGUGUGGCCAACAGGAAAAAGACAGACAAGGGAAGUCAGAAACCACACCUCAAGAGGUAGAGGCCCUGCUACAGGACUAUAAGGAUGUCUUUCAGACUCCUAGCUCAUUACCCCCAAGUAGGAGCGUAGACCAUGAGAUUCCUCUCAAACAGGAGGCUCAGCCAUUCAAACUUAAGCCUUACAGAUAUCCUCACUGUCACAAGGAGGAGAUAGAGAGACAGGUUACUGAAAUGCUGCAGAAAGGUAUUGUGAAACACAGUAACAGCCCCUUUGCCUCCCCUGUACUACU